CGCUGAAUGUGUGUGUGUGUUUGCUGACUGAAAUUACGCUGUGACUUACCCAAGCAAUUGUAGAUGCCCAUCAUUACAUGCGGAGUUGAUAUUGAUACCCGCGCACCGUCGCUCUUCUCUACACAGUUAUUUUUAACAUGUUCAGUGACACUUUGCAGAGAGUGAAUGUGCAUUGAUUUGAUGUUAAUGCAUUAGAGCCGUUAUAGGCAGAAUUGUUGCUUUUUUCACCACCGAAUUUCGCGCGGGACCAAUGUUGCACGUAUUUUUCCUAAUGCGCUUUUACCCAAGUGUAGCCUAUGUGUACAGGCAAUGUUCACCCUCUGGCUUCUGAAGAUGCCUCCGCAAUUUUUGCCUCAAUAAACCAAGACAUAUUACCAAGUAAGAGCCGCGUAGCUCAUUCAGUAGGCAUGUACACGGAAUUAUAAAUUAUAGGGAUAGGCGGCGUGCGCUUAUUCUCAGCAUGUCUAACUUUCGUGGCUCAUCCCUGGCCGUCAUUCGAGUUAAAUGCAAGGACAGGGAUGACUCCAAAACUGCGACUACCACCUAAAACAUCACGGCCCGCUGAUUUAUAUUGGAGAACUUUGGACUUUUCAGCUGUGGAUACCAACCAAAAAGCGCUGCACAUUUGCGCGGUGAUUCCAACUUUCUAGUAGGCCUAAUUAAAUUAACUAGGUUUGUGGAUGCAGGACGGAUGGUUGUUCAAGCUCUCUCAUGCCACCAACAAUUGUGAAAACAGGACAAGAAUGUGGCAGAAUCACUUUUUGGAAACGUCCGAUAGAGAUUUCGUUGUCGAGUCGACACUGGAUUAAGUUCUUGAAAAUAGACGAGUGUUAUGCGUCUCAUGCUUGUUUCCUUUACACGAGGGCUGUGAGAGCGAAGGAGGAAUGCUGGUCCGAGAGAUAUUGCCGCUCAUUUUAGGUUUUUCGUAUUUUGUUUUUGGUCACUGCUUUCUAACGUCGUUUUUACUUUUUUUCCAGUUCACUCAGGGAGAGCCCCAG
This 998-nucleotide long non-coding RNA is filed under the name Salmo salar (Atlantic salmon). RNAcentral describes it as "lncRNA (ENSSSAG00000101818.1)". Lineage: Eukaryota; Metazoa; Chordata; Actinopteri; Salmoniformes; Salmonidae. The record is from RNAcentral.